GAUGAAGAACGUAGCGAAAUGCGAUACUUGGUGUGAAUUGCAGAAUCCCGUGAACCAUCGAGUCUUUGAACGCAAGUUGCGCCCGAAGCCAUUAGGCCGAGGGCACGCCUGCCUGGGCGUCACACGUCGUUGCCCCCCCAUCUACUCCUUCGGGAUUGCGGGGGGCGGAUGAUGGCCUCCCGUGCGCCUCGUCGCGCGGUUGGCAUAAAUGCCAAGACCUCGGCGACGCACGCCACGACAAUCGGUGGUUGCGAAACCUCGGUUGCCCGUCGUGUGCGGUCGUCGCGCAUCGAGGGCUCGAAAAAAUUGCCGGGCUCCGGCUCGGCUUUCAACGCGACCCCAGGUCAGGCGGGGUUACCCGCUGAAUUUAAGCAUAUCAAUAAGCGGAGGA
Molecule: unclassified non-coding RNA, 391 nt
Filed under: soil metagenome
Description: partial contains 5.8S ribosomal RNA, internal transcribed spacer 2, and large subunit ribosomal RNA
Rfam family: 5.8S ribosomal RNA (bases 1-122)
Source: RNAcentral